UACGUAGGGACCGAGCGUUGUCCGGAAUCAUUGGGCGUAAAGAGCGUGUAGGCGGCCUUUUAAGUCCUGCGUGAAAUCCUGCGGCUCAACCGCAGACGGUCGUGGGAAACUGGAAGGCUAGAGUGCGGGAGAGGAGAGUGGAAUUCCCGGUGUAGCGGUGAAAUGCGCAGAUAUCGGGAAGAACACCCGUGGCGAAGGCGGUUCUCUGGGACGGUACUUACGCUGAGACGCGAAAGCGUGGGGAGCGAACAGG
RNAcentral lists this ribosomal RNA (253 nucleotides) under uncultured bacterium. Its description in RNAcentral is "partial 16S ribosomal RNA". It matches the Rfam family "Bacterial small subunit ribosomal RNA", at positions 524 to 776 of the family's 1533-position model. The record is from RNAcentral.